GGAUGUCAGGGCGAUCUGGCUGCGACAUCUGUCACCGCAUUGAUCGCCAGGGUUGAUUCGGCUGAUCUGGCUGGCUAGGCGGGUGUCCCCUUCUUCCCUCACCGCUCCAUGUGUGUCCCCCCCGAAGCUGUGCGCUUGGUCGAAGAGGACCACCUUCUCCGAUAGAGGAGGACCGUUCUUUGGUCAAGGGUAUACGAGUAGCUGCACUCCCCUGCUAGAACCUCCAAACAAGCUCUCAAAACUCUGCGUAGGCUCAGACAAUUGGCCAACCAUCAUGGACCGAGGAAGGGAGGGGCCUCACCAAAUGCUU
This 310-nucleotide small nuclear RNA is filed under the name Tursiops truncatus (common bottlenose dolphin). RNAcentral describes it as "7SK RNA (ENSTTRG00000021765.1)". It matches the Rfam family "7SK RNA", at positions 1 to 287 of the family's 331-position model. Rfam says of the family: 7SK was discovered as an abundant small nuclear RNA in the mid-70s but a possible function has only recently been suggested. Lineage: Eukaryota; Metazoa; Chordata; Mammalia; Artiodactyla; Delphinidae. The record is from RNAcentral.